Molecule: ribosomal RNA, 915 nt
Filed under: uncultured Gammaproteobacteria bacterium
Lineage: Bacteria; Pseudomonadati; Pseudomonadota; Gammaproteobacteria
Description: bacterial SSU rRNA
Rfam family: Bacterial small subunit ribosomal RNA
Source: RNAcentral
AGAGUUUGAUCCUGGCUCAGAUUGAACGCUGGCGGCAGGCCUAACACAUGCAAGUCGAGCGGUAGAGAGAGGAGCUUGCUUCUCUUGAGAGCGGCGGACGGGUGAGUAAUGCCUAGGAAUCUGCCUAGUGGUGGGGGAUAACGUUCGGAAACGGACGCUAAUACCGCAUACGUCCUACGGGAGAAAGCGGGGGAUCUUCGGACCUCGCGCCAUUAGAUGAGCCUAGGUCGGAUUAGCUAGUUGGUGAGGUAAUGGCUCACCAAGGCGACGAUCCGUAACUGGUCUGAGAGGAUGAUCAGUCACACUGGAACUGAGACACGGUCCAGACUCCUACGGGAGGCAGCAGUGGGGAAUAUUGGACAAUGGGCGAAAGCCUGAUCCAGCCAUGCCGCGUGUGUGAAGAAGGUCUUCGGAUUGUAAAGCACUUUAAGUUGGGAGGAAGGGUAGUAACCUAAUACGUUGCUGCUUUGACGUUACCGACAGAAUAAGCACCGGCUAACUUCGUGCCAGCAGCCGCGGUAAUACGAAGGGUGCAAGCGUUAAUCGGAAUUACUGGGCGUAAAGCGCGCGUAGGUGGUUCAGCAAGUUGGAUGUGAAAGCCCUGGGCUCAACCUGGGAACUGCAUCCAAAACUACUGAGCUAGAGUACGGUAGAGGGUAGUGGAAUUUCCUGUGUAGCGGUGAAAUGCGUAGAUAUAGGAAGGAACACCAGUGGCGAAGGCGACCACCUGGACUGAUACUGACACUGAGGUGCGAAAGCGUGGGGAGCAAACAGGAUUAGAUACCCUGGUAGUCCACGCCGUAAACGAUGUCGACUAGCCGUUGGGAUCCUUGAGAUCUUAGUGGCGCAGCUAACGCAUUAAGUCGACCGCCUGGGGAGUACGGCCGCAAGGUUAAAACUCAAAGGAAUUGACGG